This 5351-nucleotide long non-coding RNA is filed under the name Cyanistes caeruleus (blue tit). Its description in RNAcentral is "lncRNA (ENSCCEG00000015977.1)". Lineage: Eukaryota; Metazoa; Chordata; Aves; Passeriformes; Paridae. The record is from RNAcentral.
AUUUUCUUGUUUUCUCAUGUACUUUUCCCUCAGUUCAUUUAGGUGACCUGUCUUUAGUUCCUUGCUCUGCUCGCUGUAAUUGCUUCUUCAGAGUAAUGUUACACGGUGAGCGUGGCACUGCAGCCGGGGGAUGGCUUUAUGGGAGUGAUAAGGACAGCGGAACAGAACAGCAUUUGACUCUGAUAAGGGCAGGAGAACAGCACAGCCUUGCAGAAACAGAUAAAGGAUGUGACUUAGGCAAACAGAAGCCAUGCAAAAUGCAAGGAGGAGCCCAGCCCAGCUCUGCAAGGCUGGCAAAGCAGGAGCUGUGCACAAUGGUGAUGAUAUUGUGCUCACUGAAAAGCAGGGCUUGAGGAACAGCCCCCUAAAAAGGGCACUGGGUGUGAAAACCGACCCUAAAGAACCACCUGAGGACUCCUAUUAAGGGGUGUGACUAUGUAAAACAGACUAAUACACACGCAUCGCUUCUGGAAACAUUCCCAGUGGCUGGACUAUUCAUCAGGGCUGCUACAUCGCUGCUGCUGCUGCAAAGAGGGAAGUACCUUUUUCUCUUCCUCUUUAUUAGCAUGUGCCAUGGUGUGAGGCACAGCACCGGGGAGGGAACCCCACCGUGAGCGGCACUGGGUAAACACAGCCGAGGUGACAGUGACAGUCCUCAUCACAGAGUGUUAGCAAUUCAAACAGCCACGUCAGUCAAGGAAUUGGAGAGAAGGGAAAGCAAAAGGGAGAAUGUGACGGUUUGCAAACACUCCGCCGCACGAUUCUGUCGCAGGUGUUUCAAAGUUUUCUUCAUGUUAAGAAGGAAGAGGGGAGGAAAAAAAAUAUUGUUUGCAGAGGUGCAUCCAGUUUUUCCAUGCUUGGUGAUCAAAGUGGAUCAGCCUUUCUCAAGUUUCCCCUCUUGGAUGUGUGUCUGUGCCAGCAUCCGCUGGGAAUUGGCAUCAAGGCUUCCCUUUGGGCACCUGCAGAAAGCAUUCCUGGGAGUGCACUGCCAGAAGAAAAGUGCUGUGCCAGGCUUCAGACCGUUCCUCUUCCAGCCUUCUCCAUGUUUGUUUGCAUCAUGGGCUCCUUCCUCCCCACACAGCUUUGAAAAGAAAUGGACAAUGAAUGAAGGAGCUGGUUCUGGGGGACAGAGCUUUCUUACUCUGCGGUGCCUUUUGGUCUAUCACAAUCUUGAAGUGGGUAUCCAAUGUCUGGAUAAAUCUGCUGGAAAACAAUAGACAGCCAAUUCCAGUGCCUGGAUGAAGACAAAAACACCCAUCAAAGAAGGACAAAUGCAUGAAGUUCUGCUAAUUCCAAGAUCACCUGAGGGCAAGUUUAGCUGGUGCUGAUGCACACACAGCACCAGGGCUUUGCCAGGUGUCAUCUGCAAUUGGUUGUGAGUAGAAGGUGUUAAAAUGCAAGGGAUAUUUUUUGUGUGGGUGCUGGAGUGAGCUGAGUUUGAUGAGUCAUUGUUGAGUGCACGUUGGAGAAGUCAAUGCAGAGCAGGUGUUAUUGGCAAUUUUGGAGUGAAAGGCAGGAAGUCAAUUGUGGAGACUCCACUACAGCCUACACGGUGUGGAGACACUUUGUACAACAGUAAAAGUGCUAAUACCAAUGAGGACAUUGAUACACACACACAUUGCAAAUGAGCUUCCCCUUUACCAGCACAUUUCAAUUGUGCCCAUUUGCUUUGGUAUUGAAACAGUUACACCAGGCCACUGAACAUGUGAUUACGUUUUUCUCGCCUAUUAAAAUCCCUAUACGAGCCCAUGCUGAUUAGAGAUCCUAUUGUGUGUAUUUAGGGGGGAAAAAAGGCUCUGUAGUGGCUAUGCAUGAGACAGAGUGUGUUCUAGGAGCCAGAGGAUGCCCUGUAAUUUAUGAGAGACAAAGAGGUACAUUAGAUAUUGUUAGAAUACAUAAUAAUCCCCUGGCAAUAAUUUAUUUGGCUUGCAAGGUUAGGAUCUCCAUAAUUCUUGGUUGCACUCUAAUGAAGACUGCUGAUGCUGAUUAUAUAUUUUUGUGUACAUUAGAGGUACCUGUGAAUAUAUGGAUACUGUUCUUGCCUCCUGCCACCUCACUACUCACAGAGCUGCCAGUGGGACUAUAUUGUGUGGUCCAUUUGUCUAAAUAGUCCAGGCAAGUGCAUCAGCUGUAUUGGCUUCUUGUCAGUGGUUCUCUGUAACUUUGGGCCAUAAAAUGAUCCUCUGCAGGUUUCACCUGCUUUUCUCACGCUGUUAGGACACCCCUGGCUCCAGGGUGACUGACACAAACAUCAUCAGGAAGAAAGGGGUUUCAACAGGACAUGCUGUCCCUCUGCAAGUACAGACAAACCAGACUGAUGUUCCCCUGGAAAUUUUAAACUGGGAGCUCAAACCUGAUUAAUUUGUUGGUGGGAUGGUGGGAGAGAAAAGAGUGGAGGAAAUGGAAAAUUCAAAACUUUCCUUCCCCCCAGAACUCUGACUUUUCAUAAAAAUUUUGCUCUGAAAUCAGUUUAUGAUUCCACCUGUAAGGUCAUUUCCAAGUGAUUUAUUACCAUCUGACAGACCGCUCUGGGAUUUUUGGUGACACUACACAGGUCUUUUGAGCUUUAUGUUCAAAUUUAAUGGUGGUCACUGCAGCCAGAGGGAUGAAAAAUACCCAUUCCUUCACCACGGUUUCUUGUACUGGCCUCAGGGAUUAGAAAAGUAGGUCUUUUAUUUAGUUACACUGUCAGCAGCAAUUUGUAUGUGAGUUCAAUUGCUUGGUUUGGAGUUCAAAUAUUCCAGUCUGAAUACAGCUGUGUGGGCUCAUAAAGCAUCCCAAAAUCUGCUCUGCCCUGUGCCCCAUGUCUGCAUGGGGAAUUGUGGUGGUCACUGCUGGGUGUAAACACAGAGGAUGAGGUGGAAGGAAAGCCAGGGAAGAAAAGAAAUCCAUUUUGAUGGAACGAGAGGGAGAACUGGGAAUUCAUGGAUGAGAAUCUUGCUGAGGGCAGCACGGACCUUCCAUGGCUGGGUGUGUUCUGUUCACAUCCUCUUUAAGAAUCAUGGUAAGGAAAGGGUUAAAACUGUUUAACUAUAGGGCUUUUUUGGUGCAUAUUAAUUAGGCACUGCUCUGUUUUAUCACUGUAGUGCACUUUGUACAGCAGUUUUAAAAAUGCUCUGAGUAAUGUUUGCUAUGCUUCCUGCAACCUAAUCUGCCAAAUAAUUUAGGUUAUCCAUGCCACAGAAUUGACUUAACACUGGCAUAGAAAUUAGCCCUGAAGUGCUGCAAGAUCCCAGAGCUGCAGAUUAGGGGUGUCUGAUAAGAGCACAGGCCUAUCAUGAUUUUAUGCAAUGUUUUCAUGUAAUGGUUCUUCUGGUUUUGAAGGCAGUCAGCAUUUUGAUCACGGAGAUGCGUAUUUGAUCCUCACCACCAGAAAAGAGCCAUUGGAAAAGCCACACUGGGCAGGCUGGGCUUUGCAAGGCUCCAGUAUUAAACAGCAGAUCCUUGCUGCAGAGCUGUGUCUGUGGCCUGGAGUCAGGCAAGGUCACUCACCAUGGUAGUGACAGUAAAAAACCUGAAAGUUGUUUUUUUCCCCUUCCUGAUUUCCCAGGUGGUGCAAGGCACUGUGGUUUCUCUGCAGUUGGGUGAGGUUUAUCUGUUCAAUCCACCUCUAGAUCUCCAUCUCCUGUUUCAGAGCAAUAUUCCAUUCCAUUAAUUCUUUCCUGCUGAAGCUCAAUGCAUCUGGUCAGCUUCUGUGGUACAGGGUUCCACAGGAUAAUUAGGAAUGAGCAGAGAAGAAGUGAUCUGGAAAUUAUUAUAAUUAUACACCUUCUUGAAGGACUUUCUAUGGAAAGAGAUUUUUUUUCUUUGAGCAGAGCAUUAAAAUCGACAAGAUUCUUCCACAAGGAAUUUUCUAAGGUUUUUUUUUUCCCAUACUCUUGUCUUCCUUUCCUUUGGCCAAAGCACAUACCAUAACAUUUGCAUGUGCUGUUGCAGCACACAGCUCUUCUGAUCCCACAUCAGGUGUCAAAUCUUUAAUAUGAUUUCCUACAUGUUUGACUAAUCAAUGCAGAACAUCAUCAUGAAAGAUAAUUUUACCCUCUGGCACUUCAGGGACAGGAUAAUGAGGCCUGGUGUUUUCCAUUUUUUAUUCUUCCACAAGAAUCUACAUUUUUUAGUCCCAGCUAAUUGAUUUAAGUUCAUGGAGGAAGGUUUUUUUCCCUUUUGCUUCCAGUAUCUUGGAUAUUAAUGGAUUCUAGUGAGCUAGCAGAGCUGUGUGAUCAGUGUGUUUAGAGAUUCAAUACACUGCCAUCCUGACCUUUCAGAAGCCAAGGGAAAAACAUCAAGCCCAGCAUGUUGAUCCCACGUGAACACUGAAAUCUCAGGCAGCUUGGAGCUGCUUCAGCUGUCUGGAGAGAGGAGUUUUCUCCAGCAAGGGAGAUUUGCUCUCAAAUCAUUUGCCAAACAGGAGGGAAGUUUCUCUCCCAACGCAGUGAGAAGUGGGAGAUUGAAGGCAGAGGUGGAAGGAGAGGGGUGGAAACACUUUCAGAAGAGCUGGGGCACCCAGGUAUUGCUCUGGAGAGCCUGGGCAGGGAGCAUGGCAUGGCAGGGUGAGGGGUGACCAUGGAGCUUCUGCUCCCCUGGCUCCAGCAGGAGUCAUUAUCCUUUUUUGACAAAAAGGGGGUCAGGUUCUGCACUGAUUGUCUGUGGAGCUGAAGGAAUGGGACAAAGCCCUCUCCAGCAGGAGCUGGACUUUGUUCAUCUCAGCAAAAAUAUUUCUUAGUCUAAAUAUCCUUCCCAGAGACAAUGGGAGCUGUUGUUUACUGAUAUGACUGAUCAAACGUUUCCCAACCACUGAUAUUAUCUCUGUUGGCCAUGGAUCCACUAAAUCCACUGGAUGAGACCCAAAAAGAACUAUGUGCCUGCUGCACCAUGUACCUGAGGCUCUAAAAGGUGUGAGUUAGAUGUGUUUUUAUGAAUAACCCAUGCAUUUCUUCAGUAUUUUGCUAUCAUUAACUAGAGUUAUUCUUGUAUUAUUAUUUUUUUUUUAGGGAUGGCAGCAGCUUAUGACAGAUUUGUUUAGGGUUAGCCCUAUACAUAAAUUAAGUGGCAGAUAAAAUUUAAUUUUUCUUAUAAGAAAAGCCUAUAGCUCCUUAAAUUGCUCAUUUAACAUCACUGAAAAGUAAUACUCCACUUUAGAAUGGACAUCGUAUUAACUUUAAAAGGCCUAUUUAAAGUGACGGUUGUCAGUGAGUGAAAGCCAGAUAUGGUAAUUUCGAGUUACAAAUCAGAGUGAGGAAACUGGAGAAUGGACAACCUUGUUAACACAAGCGCGACGGAGGAAGCACCGGGGUCAGAGUGCCAGCACGGAGAGGAAUAAAGACACAGCACCAAAAAUAUGUCCUAUAAUU